This 376-nucleotide ribosomal RNA is filed under the name uncultured bacterium. RNAcentral describes it as "bacterial SSU rRNA". It matches the Rfam family "Bacterial small subunit ribosomal RNA", at positions 524 to 898 of the family's 1533-position model. The record is from RNAcentral.
UACGAAGGGUGCAAGCGUUGUUCGGAUUUAUUGGGCGUAAAGCGCGCGUAGGCGGACCUGCAAGUCAGAUGUGAGAUCUCGAGGCUCAACCUCGAAACUGCGUCUGAAACUACAGGUCUAGAAUCUCGGAGGGGGAAGGGGAAUAUCGCAUGUAGGGGUAAAAUCCGUAGAUAUGCGAUGGAACACCAGAGGCGAAGGCGCCUUCCUGGACGAGUAUUGACGCUGAGGCGCGAAAGCGUGGGGAUCAAACAGGAUUAGAUACCCUGGUGGUCCACGCUGUAAACGAUGAACACUAGAUAUUGGAGGAUUUGACCCCUUCAGUGUCGCAGCUAACGCGUUAAGUGUUCCGCCUGGGAAGUACGGUCGCAAGACUAAA